UCGAACGGGAUCCAUCCUUCGGGAUGGUGAGAGUGGCGGACGGGUGAGUAACGCGUGGGAACCUGCCCAGUGGUGGGGGAUAACUGCGGGAAACUGCAGCUAAUACCGCAUGAGCCCGAGAGGGGAAAGAUUUAUCGCCAUUGGAGGGGCCCGCGUUCGAUUAGGUAGUUGGUGAGGUAAUGGCUCACCAAGCCGACGAUCGAUAGCUGGUCUGAGAGGAUGAUCAGCCACACUGGGACUGAGAUACGGCCCAGACUCCUACGGGAGGCAGCAGUGGGGAAUAUUGGACAAUGGGGGCAACCCUGAUCCAGCAAUGCCGCGUGAGUGAUGAAGGCCUUCGGGUUGUAAAGCUCUUUUGCCAGGGACGAUGAUGACGGUACCUGGAGAAUAAGCCCCGGCUAACUUCGUGCCAGCAGCCGCGGUAAUACGAAGGGGGCAAGCGUUG
Molecule: ribosomal RNA, 445 nt
Filed under: uncultured bacterium
Lineage: Bacteria
Description: bacterial SSU rRNA
Rfam family: Bacterial small subunit ribosomal RNA
Source: RNAcentral